GGGAAGGUGGCUCAGUGGUAGAGUGCUUGCCUUGUAUGCAUGAAGCCCUGGGUUCAAUUCCUCAUCAUA
RNAcentral lists this transfer RNA (69 nucleotides) under Dipodomys ordii (Ord's kangaroo rat). It matches the Rfam family "tRNA". From Rfam's summary of the family: Transfer RNA (tRNA) molecules are approximately 80 nucleotides in length. The record is from Rfam by way of RNAcentral. Lineage: Eukaryota; Metazoa; Chordata; Mammalia; Rodentia; Heteromyidae.